Molecule: ribosomal RNA, 1923 nt
Filed under: Triticum aestivum (bread wheat)
Lineage: Eukaryota; Viridiplantae; Streptophyta; Magnoliopsida; Poales; Poaceae
Description: partial small subunit ribosomal RNA
Source: RNAcentral
AUGCAACAUCUUUUGCUCAUAGCUUUUCUUUCUGCUUCUCUGUUCCUUCCUUACCCUCCUUGUGUCAGAGGGGCUGAUCUGAACUCUGACAAGCAAGCCCUUCUUGCAUUUGCUUCAUCCCUGCCUCGUGCAAGAAAGAUCAACUGGACCCUCACAACGCAGGUCUGCACAUCUUGGGUUGGGGUUACAUGCACACCAGAUGGGAAGCGUGUGCGUAUGCUGCGACUACCCGCAGUAGGACUAUUUGGUCCUAUGCCCUCCAACAUACUUGGCAAGCUUGAUGCCUUAGAGGUGUUAAGCCUUCGGUCCAAUCGUCUUACUGUUAGCCUACCCCCUGAUGUAGCAUCCAUUCCUUCUCUGCACUCUCUUUACCUUCAGCGCAACAACUUGUCGGGCAUAAUACCUACAUCACUGUCCUCAAAUCUAGCAUACCUCGACCUGUCGUACAACUCAUUUGUUGGAGAAAUCCCAUUGAAAGUGCAAAAUAUGACUGAGCUUACUGGGUUGUCUCUCCAGAACAACUCUCUUUCUGGACCCAUCCCUGAUCUUCACCUCCCCAAACUGAGAUAUUUGAACUUGAGCUACAAUAACCUCAGUGGGCCCAUUCCGGCUUCUCUGCAGAAGUUUCCAGCCAGUUCUUUCUUGGGGAAUGCUUUUGUAUGUGGGUUUCCCCUGGAACCAUGUCCAGGAACCACACCUUCUCCUUCUCCGAAUGCACCACCUUCCCAGGAAAGCAAUUUGGAAAAGUUUUGGAGAAAGCAUCACAAAAUUAUCAUAAUUGCAAUACUUGCUGGAGGAGCUGCAAUAUUGUUGAUUUUGAUUAUCAUACUCGUGAUAUGCAUCUGCAAGAGAAAGAGAGACGGAGAGCCUCGCGCAGCUUCAUCCUCAUCCAAAGGGAAGGGUGUUGCGGGUGGAAGAGGAGAAAAAUCCAAGCCAGAAUACAGCAGUGGUGUUCAAGAAGCAGAGAGGAACAAAUUAGUUUUCUUUGAGGGCUGUUCAUAUAAUUUCGACUUGGAGGAUCUGUUGAGGGCUUCAGCUGAAGUCCUUGGGAAAGGAAGCUACGGCACGACCUACAAAGCUGUUCUUGAGGAUGGCACGACAGUGGUGGUCAAGAGGCUGAAGGAGGUGGUGGCGGGAAAGAAGGAAUUCGAACAGCAAAUGGAGAUAAUUGACAGGCUUGGCCAGCACCAGGGUGUUGUUCCCUUGCGUGCUUUCUAUUACUCCAAGGAUGAGAAGCUCUUGGUCUAUGACUAUGUUACACCGGGUAGCCUUUCAGCUGCUUUGCAUGGGAACAAAUCUGCUGGAAGAGCACCACUGGACUGGGAGACGAGAGUGAAGAUAUCGCUCGGCGCCGCAAGAGCGAUCGCUCAUCUUCACACCGGAGCAGGCGGCAAGUUCAUCCACGGCAACAUAAAGUCGAACAACAUCAUCCUCUCGCGGGAGCUGAACGCGUGCGUCUCGGACUUCGGCCUUGCGCAGCUCAUGGCCACCCCUCACUUCCACCCGCGGCUCGUCGGGUACCGCGCGCCGGAGGUCCUGGAGGCCAAGAAGCCGACGCAAAAGUCCGACGUGUACAGCUUCGGCGUGCUGCUCCUGGAGAUGCUGACCGGGAAGGCCCCCCUCCGGUCCCCCGGCCGCGACGACUCCAUCGAGCACCUCCCGAGGUGGGUGCAGUCCGUGGUCCGGGAGGAGUGGACGUCGGAGGUCUUCGACGUCGACCUGCAGAGGCACCCCAACACCGAGGACGAGAUGGUGCAGCUGCUCCAAGUCGCCAUGGCGUGCGUCGCCGUUCAUCCGGACCAGCGGCCGAGGAUGGAGCAGGUCGUCAGGAGGAUCGAGGAGAUCCGGAGCUCCGGCUCCGGGACGACGACGAGGACGUCUCCCGAGGACAAGCCGAGGGAAGAGCACAUCCAGAUCACCUGA